UCACUUUGAACUUGUAUUUUUUUUUUCUCCUUGGACAUUUGUGACUAGUAUAUGUAUACACACCUACAUUAUACGUAACCCCUGAUCCUUUUAAAAAUGAAAAAUAAAAUUGUGGGCGGGGAAGAGGAGAGGGAGGGGAUUACAAGGUCGGAAAUUGAACUUUCACUAACCUACUGAGCUACCAAGAUUCCCCGACAUGGGCAUUCCCAUUUGCUCUUUCUCAGUAACUUAUCUCGAACACAUAGCAAAACAGCUCAUCUGAUUCCUCGAAUUGCUGGUUACAUUAGGAUAAAUUAUGAUCUUCGAGUCCAAGAGACCCUGGAGAGUCAUCCGUGUCCUCUGGAGUCCACCGGGGUUUGAGUUGGGUUAUGUGACCUACGAGGUGAUAACGAUAUACUUGGUGCGCAGAAAAAAUCAGGCAGAGAGAAAGCUCAUGCUGAUUUGGCUGAGAUCAUACAAUGUGAUGCAAGGCACAUAGAAUAAGAAAGACUAGCUCUUUAUUCGAAUGCGGAGAGGGGUGAAGGUAAUGUGGAACGUACGCAAACCAGAUGAGUGGAUGCCUAUCGAGGAUGCAGAUGACGAUGAGGACUAUUCAUUCCAGGAGGCCUGGCCAGCUGACAGAGCUUCAGGAUCAGGAGACUGCGGAGAUAACCCCGAGCAUGGUUCAGAGGCGAUCUCCUAGUCUUCUAGUUUUCGGGUUGGGGGUGUAGCAUUCUCAUUUGACUAUGUUUUUUUUGAUACUUGAUAUUGCUCCUCCGGGCCUUGAUCAUCAAUUUGCUGGAAUGGAUGACAGGCAAAAAGAUUGCAGGAGAACGCUUAGCAUAUCACAUGCAGCUGUAUCUGGGCCAGUUUGUACACACCUCGACUAAUUCCACGAGAUCCCCNNNN
RNAcentral lists this long non-coding RNA (888 nucleotides) under Capsicum annuum. RNAcentral's name for it is "long non-coding RNA (CANN_LNC009105)". Lineage: Eukaryota; Viridiplantae; Streptophyta; Magnoliopsida; Solanales; Solanaceae. The record is from RNAcentral.